UGGGCAACCUGCCCCUAGCUCUGGGAUAACUGCGGGAAACUGUAGCUAAUACCGGAUGUGACACGAGACUGCAUGGUCUUCGUGUGGAAAGAUUUUAUCGGCUAGGGAUGGGGCCCGCGGUCUAUCAGCUUGUUGGUGGGGUAAUGGCUCACCAAGGCGACGACGGAUAAUCGGCCUGAGAGGGCGACCGGUCACACUGGGACUGAGACACGGCCCAGACCUCCGUACGGGAGCAG
This 236-nucleotide ribosomal RNA is filed under the name uncultured bacterium. Its description in RNAcentral is "partial 16S ribosomal RNA". It matches the Rfam family "Bacterial small subunit ribosomal RNA", at positions 118 to 347 of the family's 1533-position model. The record is from RNAcentral.